AACGCACAUUGCGCCCGCCAGUAUUCUGGCGGGCAUGCCUGUUCGAGCGUCAUUUCAACCUUCAAGCCCUGCUUGUGUUGGGGUCCUGCGGCUGCCCGCAGGCCCUGAAAACCAGUGGCGGGCUCGCUAGUCACACCGAGCGCAGUAGCACCUCUCGCUCAGGGCGUGCGGCGGGUUCUUGCCGUGAAACCCCCCCCCUUUCCACAGGUUGACCUCGGAUCAGGUAGGAAUACCCGCUGAACUUAA
RNAcentral lists this unclassified non-coding RNA (246 nucleotides) under uncultured Sordariales. RNAcentral's name for it is "sequence contains 5.8S rRNA gene, ITS2, 28S rRNA gene". The stretch from base 1 to 52 matches the Rfam family "5.8S ribosomal RNA", at positions 103 to 154 of the family's 154-position model. The record is from RNAcentral. Lineage: Eukaryota; Fungi; Ascomycota; Sordariomycetes; Sordariales.